UGGGGAAUAUUGGGCAAUGGACGAAAGUCUGACCCAGCGACGCCGCGUGAGGGAAGAAGGUCUUCGGAUUGUAAACCUCUGUUGAUAGGGAAGAAGAAAGUGACGGUACCUAUCGAGGAAGCCACGGCUAACUACGUGCCAGCAGCCGCGGUAAUACGUAGGUGGCAAGCGUUAUCCGGAAUUACUGGGUGUAAAGGGUGUGUAGGCGGGACUGCAAGUCAGAUGUGAAAACUAUGGGCUCAACCCAUAGCCUGCAUUUGAAACUGUGGUUCUUGAGUGUCGGAGAGGUAAAUGGAAUUCCCAGUGUAGCGGUGAAAUGCGUAGAUAUUGGGAGGAACACCAGUGGCGAAGGCGAUUUACUGGACGACAACUGACGCUGAGACACGAAAGCGUGGGGAGCAAACAGG
This 407-nucleotide ribosomal RNA is filed under the name uncultured prokaryote. RNAcentral describes it as "bacterial SSU rRNA". It matches the Rfam family "Bacterial small subunit ribosomal RNA", at positions 355 to 776 of the family's 1533-position model. RNAcentral also lists the same sequence under 1 other name. The record is from RNAcentral.